GAGAUCUAUUCAGUGAAUUAAUUUAUUGCUUUGGUAAGCCUAGCUUGCCAAUUUAAACCAGAAAUUUUGUUGUCUAAAAGAAAUAUUUUAAAAAAUUAAAACUUUCAACAACGGAUCUCUUGGUUCUCGCAUCGAUGAAGAACGCAGCGAAACGCGAUAUGUAAUGUGAAUUGCAGAAUGUGAAUCAUCGAAUCUUUGAACGCACAUUGCACCUUUUGGUAUUCCAAAAGGUAUACCUGUUUGAGCGUCAGUUCAUCCUCAAACGAAAGUUUGGUUUUGACUGAAUAUUUCAAUAUCGGCUGAAAUGUAUUGUGUUAAUAGGGGUGUAAUAAGUAUAUUCAUCCCGUAGUUAACCCAAAAACUAUUUUAAACGUUUGACCUCAAAUCAGGCAAGACUACCCGC
RNAcentral lists this ribosomal RNA (403 nucleotides) under [Candida] sp. GY43S04. RNAcentral describes it as "eukaryotic LSU rRNA". The stretch from base 100 to 250 matches the Rfam family "5.8S ribosomal RNA". The record is from RNAcentral. Lineage: Eukaryota; Fungi; Ascomycota; Saccharomycetes; Saccharomycetales.